RNAcentral lists this ribosomal RNA (270 nucleotides) under uncultured archaeon. Its description in RNAcentral is "partial 16S ribosomal RNA". It matches the Rfam family "Archaeal small subunit ribosomal RNA", at positions 477 to 747 of the family's 1478-position model. The record is from RNAcentral.
CAGCACCCCAAGUGGUCAGGAUGAUUAUUGGGCCUAAAGCAUCCGUAGCCUGCUUUGUUAGUUUUCGGUUAAAUCCAUCCGCUCAACGUAUGGGCUGCCGGGAAUACUGCAAAGCUAGGGAGUGGGAGAGGUAGACGGUACUCGGUAGGAAGGGGUAAAAUCCUUUGAUCUAUUGAUGACCACCUGUGGCGAAGGCGGUCUACCAGAACACGUCCGACGGUGAGGGAUGAAAGCUGGGGGAGCAAACCGGAUUAGAUACCCGAGUAGUCC